This 468-nucleotide ribosomal RNA is filed under the name uncultured bacterium. Its description in RNAcentral is "partial 16S ribosomal RNA". It matches the Rfam family "Bacterial small subunit ribosomal RNA", at positions 28 to 507 of the family's 1533-position model. The record is from RNAcentral.
GACGAACGCUGGCGGCGUGCUUAACACAUGCAAGUCGAACGGAAAGGCCCUGCUUUUGUGGGGUGCUCGAGUGGCGAACGGGUGAGUAACACGUGAGUAACCUGUCCUUUACUUUGGGAUAACUUCAGGAAACUGUGGCUAAUACCGGAUAGGAGCUCCUGCUGCAUGGUGUGGGUUGGAAAGUUUCGGCGGUUGGGGAUUGACUCGCGGCUUAUCAGCUUUUUGGUGGGGUAGUUGCUUACCAAGGAUUUGACGGGUAGCCGGCAUGUGAGGGUGACCGGAAAAAAUGGGACGGAGAUAAGGACCAGAAGAGAAGGGGAGGCAGGAGAGGGGAAUAUUGAAAAAUGGGAGGAAGCCAGAUGCAGCAAAGCCGCGUGCGGGAUGACGGCAUUCGGGUUGUAAACCGAAUUCGCCUGUGACGAAGAGUGAGUGACGGUAAUGGGUAAAGAAGCACCGGCUAACUACGUG